GAUGAAGAACGUAGCGAAAUGCGAUAAGUAGUGUGAAUUGCAGAAUUCAGUGAAUCAUCGAAUCUUUGAACGCACAUUGCGCCCCUUGGUAUUCCGAGGGGCAUGCCUGCUCGAGCGUCAUUAUAACCCCUCAAGCUCAGCUUGGUGUUGGGGCCUGCUGCACUGGCAGCCCUUAAAAUCAGUGGCGGCGCCAUCUGGCUCUAAGCGUAGUAAUUCUUCUCGCUAUGGAGUCCUGGUGGAUGCUUGCCAUCAACCCCCAAUUUUUCUAUGGUUGACCUCGGAUCAGGGAGGGAUACCCGCUGAACUUAAGCAUAUCAAUAAGCGGAGGA
RNAcentral lists this unclassified non-coding RNA (329 nucleotides) under soil metagenome. Its description in RNAcentral is "partial contains 5.8S ribosomal RNA, internal transcribed spacer 2, and large subunit ribosomal RNA". The stretch from base 1 to 120 matches the Rfam family "5.8S ribosomal RNA", at positions 35 to 154 of the family's 154-position model. The record is from RNAcentral.